GGAUAAAUUUAAGGGUUAAUUAUUGAAAUAGAAGGUUUACAAGAAAUAACUUUAUUAAAUUGUUUUAGUAUAGGAAUAGAAUUAAUUGGUGAAUUGAUAGUGAAUUAGUAUUGUGAGAGAGGGUUGAAAUAUUUUGAAAAUAUAUUUGAAUAGAAGUAAAUUAAUAUUGUACCUUGUGUAUCAGGGUUUAUUAAAAAUGGGGUACGGAUUUAUUCAUCCCGAAUUGAGAAGAGCUAAUUUAUUAUGUUAGUUAGUAUGUUAUGAUUAUUAAUAAUAAUAAGUUUGUAAUGAGAUGUUAGGCGUUUCUCAGAAUAUCUGGUUUUCUAAGAAAUGAAUUUAAUUCAGCAGGAUUUAUUAACUUGUAAUUUAUGUUAUAAGUUAUAGAUUGAUUGUAAUACUUUAAGGGAUAAGCUUUGGGGUAAUGCUUAGAAGUAAUAUUUAAUUAUGUUGAAAGUUGUAGGCUUUAAAUUAGCUAUCAAUUGAAUAAUGUUAUAAAUUAUUUAAUGUUGAUAUGAUUUUAUAUAAAUUUUAGGUAGUAUAUUGGAAUAAUUUAUGUAACUUUAAGAUAUUUGUAAUAAUGAUAAAAUUAGUAUAUUUUUUUAAUGUAUAUGAUUUAGUAAGAAGGUAAUUUAUGUAAAGGAACUAGGCAAUUUUAAUGUUCGCCUGUUUAUCAAAAACAUGUCCUUUUGUGAUAAAUUUAAGGUCGGGCCUGCCCCCUGAUGGUAUUAUUAAAGGGCCGCGGUAUUUUGACCGUGCAAAGGUAGCAUAAUCAUUAGUCUUUUAAUUGGAGGCUAGAAUGAAUGGCUUGACGAAACAUUAACUGUCUCUAUAUAAAAUAUAGAAUUUAACUUUUGAGUAAAAAGGCUUAAAUGUGUAUAAAAGACGAGAAGACCCUAUAGAGCUUUAUAUUUAUAUUUAGUUAUUGUAUUUAGUAGUAGUAUCUAUAGUUAAAUAAAUGUAUUUUGUUGGGGUGACGUGAAGAUAAAAAGAACUCUUUAUUAGUAAAACAUAGAUUUAUGAAUAUUUGAUCCAUUAUUAGUGAUUAUAAGAUAAAGUUACCUUAGGGAUAACAGCGUAAUCUUUUUUAAGAGUUCAUAUCGACAAGAAGGAUUGCGACCUCGAUGUUGGAUUAAGGAAUAUGAUUAGGUGUAGAAGUUUAAUUAAUAAGUCUGUUCGACUUUUAAAUCCUUACAUGAUCUGAGUUCAGACCGGCGUAAGCCAGGUCGGUUUCUAUCUUUAUAAAGAUAAAGUAUUUUAGUACGAAAGGACCAAAUAUUUAAAAAAGUUUUUGAAGGAUGAUAAGAUUAACA
RNAcentral lists this ribosomal RNA (1310 nucleotides) under Zichya tenggerensis. RNAcentral describes it as "16S ribosomal RNA". The stretch from base 615 to 1310 matches the Rfam family "Archaeal large subunit ribosomal RNA", at positions 1423 to 2913 of the family's 2987-position model. The record is from RNAcentral. Lineage: Eukaryota; Metazoa; Arthropoda; Insecta; Orthoptera; Tettigoniidae.